UACGUAGGGGGCUAGCGUUGUCCGGAUUUAUUGGGCGUAAAGAGCGUGUAGGCGGCCAGGUAGGUCCGGUGAAAACUCGAGGCUUAACCUCGAGAUGUCAUCGGAAACCAUCUGGCUAGAGUCCGGAAGAGGAAAGUGGAAUUCCUGGUGUAGCGGUGAAAUGCGCAGAUAUCAGGAAGAACACCAAUGGCGAAAGCAGCUUUCUGGGACGGUACUGACGCUGAGACGCGAAAGCGUGGGGAGCGAACAGG
This 251-nucleotide ribosomal RNA is filed under the name uncultured bacterium. Its description in RNAcentral is "partial 16S ribosomal RNA". It matches the Rfam family "Bacterial small subunit ribosomal RNA", at positions 524 to 776 of the family's 1533-position model. The record is from RNAcentral.